UAGGGAAUCUUCCACAAUGGACGAAAGUCUGAUGGAGCAACGCCGCGUGAGUGAGGAAGGGUUUCGGCUCGUAAAACUCUGUUGUUAAAGAAGAACAUAUCUGAGAGUAACUGUUCAGGUAUUGACGGUAUUUAACCAGAAAGCCACGGCUAACUACGUGCCAG
RNAcentral lists this ribosomal RNA (164 nucleotides) under uncultured bacterium. Its description in RNAcentral is "partial 16S rRNA". It matches the Rfam family "Bacterial small subunit ribosomal RNA", at positions 355 to 511 of the family's 1533-position model. The record is from RNAcentral.